CGGGCCGUAGCGCAGCCUGGUUAGCGCGCCUGACUGGGGGUCAGGAGGUCGGGAGUUCAAAUCUCCCCGGCCCGACCA
Molecule: transfer RNA, 78 nt
Filed under: Myxococcales bacterium
Lineage: Bacteria; Pseudomonadati; Myxococcota; Myxococcia; Myxococcales
Also listed under: 1 other name
Description: tRNA-Pro
Rfam family: tRNA
About the family: Transfer RNA (tRNA) molecules are approximately 80 nucleotides in length. Their secondary structure includes four short double-helical elements and three loops (D, anti-codon, and T loops).
Source: RNAcentral